AGUGAACGCUGGCGGUAGGCCUAACACAUGCAAGUCGAACGGCAGCACAGUAAGAGCUUGCUCUUACGGGUGUCGAGUGGCGGACGGGUGAGGAAUACAUCGGAAUCUACUUUUUCGUGGGGGAUAACGUAGGGAAACUUACGCUAAUACCGCAUACGACCUACGGGUGAAAGCAGGGGAUCUUCGGACCUUGCGCGAUUGAAUGAGCCGAUGUCGGAUUAGCUAGUUGGCGGGGUAAAGGCCCACCAAGGCGACGAUCCGUAGCUGGUCUGAGAGGAUGAUCAGCCACACUGGAACUGAGACACGGUCCAGACUCCUACGGGAGGCAGAAGUGGGGAAUAUUGGACAAUGGGCGCAAGCCUGAUCCAGCCAUACCGCGUGGGUGAAGAAGGCCUUCGGGUUGUAAAGCCCUUUUGUUGGGAAAGAAAAGCAGCAGGUUAAUACCCCGCUGUUCUGACGGUACCAAAAGAAUAAGCACCGGCUAACUUCGUG
RNAcentral lists this ribosomal RNA (492 nucleotides) under uncultured bacterium. RNAcentral's name for it is "partial 16S ribosomal RNA". It matches the Rfam family "Bacterial small subunit ribosomal RNA", at positions 29 to 507 of the family's 1533-position model. The record is from RNAcentral.